GCGGUGCCGCACCUGCGUGCCGGUGAAAAGGGAACGCCGUGUAAUUCGGCGACAGUACCCGCUGCUGUGACCCCAUUUGUUGUACCGAAACGACUGAAAACCACUGCAAUAAAGCUAUUUGCGGGAAGGUGUUCGGAAUCUGGGGAAGCCAGAAAACCUGCCGCUUUU
This 168-nucleotide non-coding RNA is filed under the name uncultured Alloprevotella sp. Lineage: Bacteria; Pseudomonadati; Bacteroidota; Bacteroidia; Bacteroidales; Prevotellaceae. The record is from RNAcentral.